GAUCAUGGNUCAGGAUGAACGCUAGCUACAGGCUUAACACAUGCAAGUCGAGGGGCAGCAUGACCUAGCAAUAGGUUGAUGGCGACCGGCGCACGGGUGAGUAACACGUAUCCAACCUACCGGUUAUUCCGGGAUAGCCUUUCGAAAGAAAGAUUAAUACCGGAUAGUAUAACGAGAAGGCAUCCUUUUGUUAUUAAAGAAUUUCGAUAACCGAUGGGGAUGCGUUCCAUUAGUUUGUUGGCGGGGUAACGGCCCACCAAG
RNAcentral lists this ribosomal RNA (261 nucleotides) under uncultured bacterium. Its description in RNAcentral is "partial 16S ribosomal RNA". It matches the Rfam family "Bacterial small subunit ribosomal RNA", at positions 15 to 272 of the family's 1533-position model. The record is from RNAcentral.